This 244-nucleotide long non-coding RNA is filed under the name Drosophila guanche. Lineage: Eukaryota; Metazoa; Arthropoda; Insecta; Diptera; Drosophilidae. The record is from RNAcentral.
CUGUAGCGUCCGUUUCCCUGGAGUCCGCUCCAAGCCCCUUAAGUAUCGCAUAUAUUUUGAUUCCAUCAACCAAUAACGUCCCGGACCACCGGAUAUUGCCGUCACAGGUAACAGAUCUGUGGUGACAAAAUGAACCUGGUGGGAGUUUUACCACAGCGGCAAGUUUUAUGUUUCUCGGCUUGUCCCUGACCUCCCUGACCACUUUUAUGCAAAACAAAAUAAAAAUCGUUGGCUUAAAGGUGGA